AGAGUGAACGCUGGCGGUAGGCCUAACACAUGCAAGUCGAACGGCAGCACAGUAGGAGCUUGCUCUUACGGGUGGCGAGUGGCGGACGGGUGAGGAAUACAUCGGAAUCUACCUUUUGGUGGGGGAUAACGUAGGGAAACUUACGCUAAUACCGCAUACGCCCUUCGGGGGAAAGCCGGGGACCAGCAAUGGCCUGGCGCUGAUAGAUGAGCCGAUGUCGGAUUAGCUAGUUGGUGAGGUAAUGGCUCACCGAGGCGACGAUCCGUAGCUGGUCUGAGAGGAUGAUCAGCCACACUGGAACUGAGACACGGUCCAGACUCCUACGGGAGCAGCAGUGGGGAAUAUUGGACAAGUGGGCGCAAGCCUGAUCCAGCCAUACCG
RNAcentral lists this ribosomal RNA (381 nucleotides) under uncultured soil bacterium. RNAcentral's name for it is "bacterial SSU rRNA". It matches the Rfam family "Bacterial small subunit ribosomal RNA", at positions 26 to 399 of the family's 1533-position model. The record is from RNAcentral.